UACGUAUGGAGCAAGCGUUAUCCGGAUUUACUGGGUGUAAAGGGUGCGUAGGCGGCAGGGCAAGUCAGAUGUGAAAGACCGGGGCUUAACUCCGGGGCUGCAUUUGAAACUGCUUUGCUUGAGUCCGGGAGAGGCAGGCGGAAUUCCUAGUGUAGCGGUGAAAUGCGUAGAUAUUAGGAGGAACACCAGUGGCGAAGGCGGCCUGCUGGACCGGAACUGACGCUGAGGCACGAAAGCGUGGGGAGCAAACAGG
RNAcentral lists this ribosomal RNA (253 nucleotides) under uncultured bacterium. Its description in RNAcentral is "partial 16S ribosomal RNA". It matches the Rfam family "Bacterial small subunit ribosomal RNA", at positions 524 to 776 of the family's 1533-position model. The record is from RNAcentral.